Molecule: ribosomal RNA, 460 nt
Filed under: uncultured bacterium
Lineage: Bacteria
Description: bacterial SSU rRNA
Rfam family: Bacterial small subunit ribosomal RNA
Source: RNAcentral
AGAGUUUGAUCCUGGCUCAGGAUGAAUGCUGGCGGCGUGUCUAAGGCAUGCAAGUCGCACGAACCAACUGAGAUUACAUCAAAGGUUGGGAAGUGGCAGACGGGAGCGGAACACAUUGGUAACAUUCCUCGAAGUCGUGAAUAACACCGGGAAACUGGUGCUAAUACACGAUGGACAAGGGGGGUCGUAAGACAUUCCCUUGUAAAGCUUCGGCGCUUCGAGAUUGGCCUAUGUCCUAUCAGCUAGUUGGUAAGGUAAUGGCUUACCAAGGCUAUGACGGGUAGGGGGCGUAAGAGCGUGGCCCCCCUCACUGGGACUGAGACACUGCCCAGGCACCUACGGGUGGCUGCAGUCAAGAAUAUUCGGCAAUGGGCGAAAGCCUGACCGAGCGACGCCGCGUGCCAGACGAAGCCCUUCGGGGUGUAAAUGGCUUUUUUCGGGGACGAACAAAUGACGGUAC